CCCCACCCCAACCCAGUGGAACCAGGAAGUGGCCCGGCCCCUUAGAGUUGCUUGGCCUGCAGGCUGGAACGCUGUCCCCAGAAGUAUCUGGAUCCUGGGCCGGGGCCCUACUUGGCCCCCAGCCGUGCAAGCCAGAGGCCUCCUCCCGACUCCGGUUUGCGGCGCAGCCGCUUGCCCAUGCCUGCUGCCUGUGGGGUCUCGGGCCAGCCAAGCGCAUGGGGCCACCCUACAGCACGAGCUGGCGAGUCGGAGGAACGCGGCCUUCGAUGCCCAGACAGGCCGGCGCAAGGAACCAGCUCCACAUGGGGUGACGAGGAGGCAGCUGGGACCCUAAGGCCUCAGUCUGUGCCGACUGAUCCUUCCUUCCCCCGUCAGGUUCCCUUUAGCCACGGUCUGGGGUUGGCCCCUGCAGCUGCACGGCCCGGGGAAGACGCCGGGCUGGCAUUUGGUCCCCUUGGGUACCCUCCAGGUAGGGCGGAAGCGGAGCAGGUCGGGGAUGCUGGGAGGCCCCGCAAUGCCCCAGGAGAGCAAACCACAAGGGGAGCCCCCUUCCCGAGAUGGCCAAGCUGGGUUCGCCACGCCCGCCUGCCCCGGGGGGCCGGGCCCCCGCCUGGUACUCACCCCGCUCCGCAGAGGCCUCACCCUCGCGUGGUGGCAGCCGCCCCCUCUCAGGCAGUGCUCCCCAUCUGGAGAGGCCGCGGCACUAAUCAGCCGCCUGGCGUGGUGCGGCCGAGUGGCUGGGGUUUAAUUGACACCAGGUGGCCCCUCCCCAGGGGCAGGCUGGGAGGCGGCUCUGCCCGGCAGGGAGGCCAAGCCCCGGGCAGGGGGGCCCCGGCACCCAGGCCUGGCCGGUUCAGGCCUCCCCUGGGGAGAGCAGGGCAGUCAGGCAGCUGCGGGCCACCCCUCCCCUCCUCUCCCACCGGCCGCCUCCGUAGCACACUCCAGCCCUGCUUUCCUAGGCUCUGACCUUUCUUUCAUUUCAGAGGCAGCAGGGACAGUGACAGCGUCUGCCCAGGAGGAGGGUGGCUCAGGUUUCCCCCCUGACUGGCUGGGGGCAGCCAGGAGUGAUGCACUGGGUCCACAGCGGCCAGGCCCUGUCGGCUGGCCCCUCAGGAGGGACACCCGUGGGCGUCGCGGACCAUCCCCC
Molecule: long non-coding RNA, 1147 nt
Filed under: Felis catus (domestic cat)
Lineage: Eukaryota; Metazoa; Chordata; Mammalia; Carnivora; Felidae
Description: lncRNA (ENSFCAG00000047771.1)
Source: RNAcentral